AUUUGGUUUUGGAAUCUAAAGUUGGGGAGAGUAAAGAAAAAAGAGUUUAUUAGAAACUUGGAAAAGUGAGUUUUAUGAAAGGGUAAAAAUAUGAAAAGAAACAAGAAAAAGAAAUCACCCUUGAAACCAUAGAGCAAAGAAAAAAUAAAAGAAAGAAAAAAAAGCAAGCAAAGAAAAUGCUCAUGGUUGUGUGGAUGUAAAAAGAAAAAGAAAAAAAAGAUAGGGAUCAAAGAAAGGGAAAUUGUGUAGAGUUGAAUGUUUGGGAAUGCUCCCUUAGGAUAUGCAACUUUGUUGAAUUCUCUUAAUCAUAUCCUUUCUUGUAACCUAAGCCACAUUAC
Molecule: long non-coding RNA, 338 nt
Filed under: Lathyrus oleraceus (garden pea)
Lineage: Eukaryota; Viridiplantae; Streptophyta; Magnoliopsida; Fabales; Fabaceae
Description: Pisum sativum (pea) long non-coding RNA (PSAT_LNC028936)
Source: RNAcentral